GAUGAACGCUAGCGGCAGGCCUAAUACAUGCAAGUCGGACGGGAUUGGGGAGCUUGCUCCCCAUGAGAGUGGCGCACGGGUGCGUAACACGUAUGUAACCUACACUUGUCAGGGGGAUAGCCUCUCGAAAGAGAGAUUAACACCGCAUAACAUUAUUGGAUGGCAUCAUUUAAUAAUCAAAUAUUUAUAGGACAAGGAUGGGCAUGCGGGACAUUAGCUAGUUGGUAGGGUAACGGCUUACCAAGGCUACGAUGUCUAGGGGAUCUGAGAGGAUGGCCCCCCACACUGGUACUGAGACACGGACCAGACUCCUACGGGAGGCAGCAGUAAGGAAUAGUGGUCAAGGGGCGCAAGCCUGAACCAGCCAUGCCGCGUGCAGGAAGACGGCCCUACGGGUUGUAAACUGCUUUUGCGCCGGAAUAAACCCUUUUACGAGUAAGAGGCUGAAUGUACGGCGAGAAUAAGGAUCGGCUAACUCCGUGCCAGCCGCCGCGGUAA
RNAcentral lists this ribosomal RNA (498 nucleotides) under uncultured bacterium. RNAcentral's name for it is "partial 16S ribosomal RNA". It matches the Rfam family "Bacterial small subunit ribosomal RNA", at positions 28 to 523 of the family's 1533-position model. The record is from RNAcentral.